This is a non-coding RNA of Schizosaccharomyces pombe (fission yeast), 605 nucleotides long. The record is from the annotation of a GenBank genome assembly. NCBI's taxonomy places the organism in Eukaryota, Fungi, Ascomycota, Schizosaccharomycetes, Schizosaccharomycetales, Schizosaccharomycetaceae.
UUGAACGGUUGAGUGGAAUGCGUAUAUCGACUCCAUGAAGAGCUCAUGGAUUCCAAAGUGCUUAAAUUAUGAAUGAGCAAUGAUGUAUGAUAAAAAGUAAAGGCAGUCAUAACAAUGCUCAUUCCAACAGCAAAAGCAAACAGAAAGCCCCAGAACACUAAAUAAAUAGCACUAAUAUUCGCUCCUUCGGCUGUGAAAGUUUUGGUGAUGGCAACAAAAGUUGAAUAAAGAACGCAGAUGGAGUAGAGAUUUAAGUAGAAGCACUCCAGGAAGAAAAACUUGUGGUUACGGAAUCCAACACAAUUUUUAAACCACAUGCAAUGAUGGUCCAUUCGAAGAAUGCACUUAUUACAUUGCGAGCAAUGAUGAGAUCGAUCGCAUUUGUAUUCUUGACAUUUUUCGCAAAAUCGAGAUUUUCCAUUCUGUAAUGUCAUAUAUUGCCUAGUAGAAUUCGGAUCAAACGAGGUCUCCUGAAACAGAAGAGUUAGUUUCCUGUUUUAAUAAUACUCACAUAAUAUUUAUACUAAAGGAAAUUGACGUACCGAUGGAGAGCCUGGUGGUGUAAGAUUAGUAAGGACAUAACAUGUUACGAUCAUAAUGUACAA